RNAcentral lists this long non-coding RNA (758 nucleotides) under Solanum tuberosum (potato). Its description in RNAcentral is "long non-coding RNA (STUB_LNC010689)". Lineage: Eukaryota; Viridiplantae; Streptophyta; Magnoliopsida; Solanales; Solanaceae. The record is from RNAcentral.
UCAAAACUCCCUCACCAUCAAGAAUUGUCUCCUUGACUUCUCCUUUUGACAUCUUGUCUCGAAUCUUACAUAAAUCACCAUUAUAAAACUAUUGAGUCUGCUCCAAAAAGGAUGACUUAGCCUCCACAUAAGUCAAAAUCCUACUCGAUUCUGAAAUAUCAAGCCUCACAAAGUUAUUGGACAAGGACUACAUAUUCAUAGCCAAAAGAAGCUCACCCACCUGUAACAAAGUUAAAUUCCUCUAUACUCAUCGUCUUUCUACUUAAUGAAUCUACUACCAGAUUGUCCUUAUUCAGAUGAAAAAGAAUAUUGAUGUCAUAGUCCUUGAGCAACUCAAAAUCAUCUUUGUUGCCCCAAAUUGAUAUUUCUCUAAUUGAAUAUGUAUUAUAGACUACGAUGAUCCUUGAAUACCUCCUAAUACAACUAUAAAAGUAAUACCCUCAAAUCCUCAGUGCAAAUACUACAACUGUCAACUCCAAGUCAUAGGUAGGAUAGUUCUUCUAGUGAACCAGUUUCAGCUACCUCAAAUCGUAAGCUAUUACCUUUACCCUCUACAUCAACACACAAUCAAGAUCAAUCCAAGAAGCAUCACAAUAUAUGAUAAAACCCACUCCCUCCACGAGUAGUAACCAAUAAAGUCUUAAGCUUUUGAAAACUCACCUCUCACAAACCACUAGGAAGCCACUUCCUUCUAGUCAAUCUAGUUUAUGAGGAUGCAACAGAUAGAACCCUUCCACAAAUCACCGAUAAUAACCCGC